CCUCCGGGUGGCUGCAGUGGGGGAUAUUGGACAAUGGGGGGAACCCUGAUCCAGCGACGCCGCGUGAGUGAAGAAGUAUUUCGGUAUGUAAAGCUCUGUCAGCAGGGAAGAAAGAAAUGACGGUACCUGACCAAGAAGCCCCGGCUAACUACGUGCCAGCAGCCGCGGAAAUACGUGGGGGGCAAGCGUUAUCCGGAAUUACUGGGUGUAAAGGGAGUGAAGACGGGUAUGUAAGUCUGGAGUGAAAGUCCGGGGCUCCAACCCCGGACUGCUCUGGAAACUAGUGAACUUGAGUGCAGGAGAGGUAAGCGGAAUUCCUAGUGAAGCGGUGAAAUGCGUAGAUAUUAGGAGGAACACCAGAGGCGAAGGCAGCUUACUGGACUGAUACUGACGUUGAGGCUCGAAAGCGUGGGGAGCAAACAGGAUUAGAUACCCCUGUAGUC
Molecule: ribosomal RNA, 443 nt
Filed under: uncultured bacterium
Lineage: Bacteria
Description: partial 16S ribosomal RNA
Rfam family: Bacterial small subunit ribosomal RNA
Source: RNAcentral